RNAcentral lists this ribosomal RNA (253 nucleotides) under uncultured bacterium. RNAcentral describes it as "partial 16S ribosomal RNA". It matches the Rfam family "Bacterial small subunit ribosomal RNA", at positions 524 to 776 of the family's 1533-position model. The record is from RNAcentral.
UACGUAGGGUGCAAGCGUUGUCCGGAAUUAUUGGGCGUAAAGAGCUCGUAGGCGGUCUGUCGCGUCGAAUGUGAAAACCCGGGGCUCAACCCCGGGCCUGCAUUCGAUACGGGCAGACUAGAGUUCGGUAGGGGAGUCUGGAAUUCCUGGUGUAGCGGUGAAAUGCGUAGAGAUCGGGAAGAACAUCGGUGGCGAAGGCGGUCUGCUGGGCCGUUGCUGACGCUGAGGCGCGACAGCGUGGGGAGCAAACAGG